CAAACAAGCGACAGUAGUUCUCUGGACUUCUACUGUAAUUAUCUUGCGAAGAAGAGAAGUGGCGAAGAGAGAGCCCCUGUGUGUGGAGCAGUGCUCGGAUGAGCUGCUGGAGGAGAGGCGCUCAGCAGAAACACAGCCCAUGCUGCCUCCCCCAGCCCUCAAGCUCGGGACCCAGCAGGUUCUCCGUGUUUCUUUCAUUGAUAAACCGCCUUUUGCACGCUGCAGAGAGCGCGUUCAAACUAGUCAUUGCCGCGGCAAUGUGCUUCGGAAACGGGCAGAAGACCAGCCGUGGAUAACCAGCCACCAGCCCUCUGACGGGGCCGGCCAGGGUGUGUGUCUGCAGGCGCCCGAGCGAUGCAGGCUCGCCAGCGGGCUCUGCCGGCCUGGAUGGUGAGGAGGAGAGAGGAGAGGGAGGCAGGAUCGACAGAGACCAGGGCUCCUUCCCCGCAGAGGGGCAAAAGGAAGAGAGCUGAGAGGGUCACGGUAUACUGCAUGAACGAGGCUGAGCUGGUGAAGACGGCCAUGGAUUUCCUGGCUGGGAGGAGGGGCCCAGCAACGGUGGGAAAGGCGCCUGAGGAGAGCACAACAGGAAGCUGUAAGAAAGAACAGAGAAACUGGGUUUCAGACUCGGACCUGGAGGAGGAGGAGGACCUGGCAGACUCAGAACCAAGCGACAGGUCUCAUGUGUCUGAAUCGGACCUGGAUGGGGUUGCAGAGGAAGAAACCAUUCCCAUUAUAGGCAGUGGAGGAUGCCAAGCAGAAGAUAAAAAGAGGGCCCGAAUGACAGACACACAGCUGGUCACAGAGGGCCAGAGGGAUGCGGAGCAGAUGGGCCAGCCAGCCCCUGGGGAGACGACGCAGCCAGGCGAGAACAGUCCGGGAGGAUACGAAAGCCCCCAGCGCCAUCUCAAAGCACAGGCAAACACACAGCAUGAAGGAGAGCGUAAUCUUUGACAGGUGAAAAUAUUCCCAGGUGGCACCAACGAAAAACAAGAUGCCAGCAAACAUCAGGAUGCUUGAAGAGCCUUGAAGGGCCACACCGAGACCCCAGGAGCUGCUGUCCGGAGAAUAAAUCCCAAACGCCAGACUCAUCAUGGCAAACGGGAUGAGCACGAGCGUGGGGUAAAUGCACAGUAUGGCUAUAAAGAGCAUGGGACUCGAGACGCUGUGCUGCAAGUCACCCGCAGGGGAGAGAUUCGCCUGGCGAUGGUGGAUUCCGUAUGGGCUGAUGGAUGCUUCGUCCAGCUGUAUGAACUCCCCGCGUUCAAAGAUCAGGCUGAACAGCAGCUGGGCCGUGACCGCCAGGUUGAGGACCCACAGCAGGGCCAACAGCUGCUUUCUUCUUCCAUGCACAGAGUACUCCGACAUGGUCUUCCAGCAGUGAGCGGGACAAGAACAAGCCACGCGUUUUGCCUUUCCUGGGAUCGUGCCUGUUACAGGGGAAGAAAUGAUCAUGAAGCUCAUAGGUUUCAUUUAUUUUACAAAGAAUAAUCAGUGGUUUUCUCUUACUUUAGCAGUGAAUGUGCUGUGUAUGGGGAUGAUUCCCACACAUAUUCAUAGCCCAUGUGUAGAUUCAUCCAAAAGAAAGUGAAACACACGUUUAACAGUGUUUUUGUAAUGUCAGUCGUGCUGUGCAGUCCCUACCCACCGAAGCACCCAAAUUGAUCCUGGGUGAUUUUAACCACUGCAACCUCAGAAAGUCUUUGAACAGUUUCUACCAAUUUGUGGACCGGCCAACUCGUACCAACAGAACCCUGGCUUCGUGCUACAGCACCGUGCUCUGCGCGCCAGCCUGUUUCAGUUUAUUCAAAUGAUAUAAGCAAAUCGCUGGUCAGACUGGGAAACAACACUACCCAAAGUCUUAACAUGCACGGUGUUAAGAAACUUUUCAACCAGAAAAUAAGUAAUGAGAUGUGUUUACAAUCAAAACACAAAAUGUGUCCGAUUCAACAUGUCAAAGAGGGACAUGUUUUGAUUUGAAACACAUUUCAUUACUUUUUGAGGGUGAAAGUUUGUUGGUUUUGGCUGCCCUCUCCUCCCGUCUCAGACAUUCCUGUCUCUUAUUGAUGAACUUUAUCAUCGCUUAUCAAGACUAAGCAAAGCUUUUACACAUGAAAAUAAAGAUAGGAAUGACAAAAGAUCUAAUAAAUCAAAAAUUAAGAAGACUAAAAAGAUUAAGAAGCUUGACCCCUUAACUUCAGUGUGCGUUGUUUAUAUUGUGUUUUUUAUUGGAACCUGUGAAAUGUUACUUAUCUCCCUGAUAUCGAGAUGUUGUAAACAUGCAAGUUACUUUAUGAAUUUCUCCGUCAGCACUUUUUGUUCCUUCUCUGCUAUCGACACCACGGUAGUUCACAGAAAAUAAAAAGCCUGGUCCUUUGGAAACAGACUACAGAACCCAGGGGUCCUUGCCUUCUGUAAAAACAGUCGGGAUUAACUUUCCUCCUUUUAUUAUUAAUUAAAGCUACAGUAUUUGUAUAGCUACACAGGAUGUCAAGCUACUGUAAUAACGUCGUUUAAGUAAACGUCCCCGGUUCGCACAAGAUCUGGGCUGUAAACCUUCACUGCACAAUAUUUCACGAACAAGCUGAAAGGCAGAACUAAUCGGGGAAACAACCUGUUUUAUCCAUCUAAGCAAAGUGCCAAAUGAAAAUACAUUUAUUGAUAUAGCACAGAAACUUAAACCCCCACUAAACUUCGCGUUUUAUUCUGAAAAGUGAAACCGUAUCUGCAAGUAUGCCAGUGCUUGUUUUUAAAAAGCGUAACGUUUCAUUUUUUAAUUAUAAUAUAAAAGAAGUCAACUUACGAAUCGAGACUAAAGACGAGGCGCAGCAGAUCAGACGAGUUUCAUUAUGACAACGAGAUUCAAUAAUGCCCAGUUUUCUGCAAACAAACAGGAAACUGUGUUUUCAUCUGUUCUUGUGACACCUCUGACGCCUCGGUUAAAAAUCUACUUAUUAUCGGUUUUACUUUUACUUGCAGUUUCUAGUCCCCAGCCCUACUCCCUCCCGGAGAGCCCCAGUAUUACAGGUUUUGUGGGUCGCCAGUAAAUUACCAGUUGCUAAAGACUCUAGACAACUUCUCGGUCGCCAUUUAAGCAGGGGAUGCGCUAAAUUCAGUUAUUUAGGGUCAAUUGCACCAAACUUUCGGACUUUAGUGCGGAGCUGCGUAAUUACCUCAGGAUCAUCCUUGGUCAGCCCGCAGCUUUCAGUUUCGAUGCAGCUGACCCUCACAGCUCAAUAGGAGCCGAGCCCGGAAUAUCCGCCAGCCCUAAGGGAAAGGAGUCCUGGGUAUUGACUUUUCAGGUGUUUAAUUACAAACAGGUGACGCAUAAGACUAACUGGACUGGACUCUCCAAGACUGGGGGAGUAGGGCGGACCCCUUCCAUUAGCGCAAAAAUAUUUAUUUUAUAAAGAGAUAACAGUAUUUUGAAGCUUUACUUCCACAUUAAUGGACAUUUUAGGAAAUUCACAAAAUGCACAUUCAUGUUUGUUUGUUUUUUUUCUGGUUGAAGAGCAUAGCACAGUUCCCGAGUGUAUUAAGAAUGUAAAGGAGACAUACAUUAUGCUACUGCAAGAGACAUGGUGUCAGAGAGACGUGCACCUGCUGUCCCCCGGGCUACAAGCAGAUCAUAGCGCAGCCCUCCGUUAAAAACCCAAAUCACUCGCGCAGAGACUCUGGAGGGAGUGGCGCUCAAGUCACUCCUGGCAGCCUGUGAAGAGAGAAGAGUCAAAAUCAACAGAAACAUCAGUAAUCGAGGUUUUCCAGUGUGCAGUCUGCGUUUCCCUAUGCAGAGGCGCCUUGCUACAGUGAGGGAAUCGAUGUACUGU
Long non-coding RNA from Lepisosteus oculatus (spotted gar), 3827 nucleotides. Lineage: Eukaryota; Metazoa; Chordata; Actinopteri; Semionotiformes; Lepisosteidae. The record is from Ensembl.